CGGUUGAUCCUGCCGGAGGCCGCCGCUAUCCGCCUGGGACUAAGCCAUGCGAGUCGGUGGUGGCGGGCCCUGGGCUUUGCCCGAGCCCGCUGCCAGGCGAACUGCUGAGUAACACGUGCCUAACCUACCCUGGGGAGGGGGAUAAUCCCGGGAAACUGGGGCUAAUCCCCCAUAGCCCUGGGGUACUGGAAUGUCCCCAGGGUGAAAGGCCCUUGGAGGGGAAACCCUCCUUGGGUGCCCCAGGAUGGGGGCGCGGCCCAUCAGGUUGUUGCCGGGGUAACGUCCCGGCAAGCCUAUAACGGGUAGAGGCCGUGAGAGCGGGAGCCCCCAGAUGCCCUCUGAGACAUGAGGGCAGGGCCUACGGGUCGCAGCAGGCGCGAAACCUUCGCAAUGCGCGCAAGCGCGACGAGGCCAGGCGGAGUGGUGCCGCUCUGCGGCACCUUUUCCCGAGGGUAAACACCUCGGGGAAUAAGGGGUGGGCAAGACGGGUGCCAGCCGCCACGGUAAUACCCGCGCCCCGAGUGGCGGCCGCGAUUAUUGGGCCUAAAGCGCCCGUAGCCGGGUGGGUAAGUCCCUCGUGAAAUCCGCGCGUAAACGCGCGGGCGUGCGGGGGAUACUGCCCACCUUGGGACCGGGAGAGGCCGGAGGUAUUCCCGGGGUAGGGGUAAAAU
This 671-nucleotide ribosomal RNA is filed under the name uncultured archaeon. RNAcentral describes it as "bacterial SSU rRNA". It matches the Rfam family "Archaeal small subunit ribosomal RNA", at positions 5 to 638 of the family's 1478-position model. The record is from RNAcentral.